GACGAACGCUGGCGGCGUGCUUAACGCAUGCAAGUCGAACGGAAAGGCCCUGCUUUUGUGGGGUGCUCGAGUGGCGAACGGGUGAGUAACACGUGAGUAACCUGCCCUUGACUUUGGGAUAACUUCAGGAAACUGGGGCUAAUACCGGAUAGGAGCUCCUGCUGCAUGGUGGGGGUUGGAAAGUUUCGGCGGUUGGGGAUGGACUCGCGGCUUAUCAGCUUGUUGGUGGGGUAGUGGCUUACCAAGGCUUUGACGGGUAGCCGGCCUGAGAGGGUGACCGGCCACAUUGGGACUGAGAUACGGCCCAGACUCCUACGGGAGGCAGCAGUGGGGAAUAUUGCACAAUGGGCGGAAGCCUGAUGCAGCAACGCCGCGUGCGGGAUGACGGCCUUCGGGUUGUAAACCGCUUUCGCCUGUGACGAAGCGUGUGUGACGGUAAUGGGUAAAGAAGCACCGGCUAACUACGUG
RNAcentral lists this ribosomal RNA (468 nucleotides) under uncultured bacterium. Its description in RNAcentral is "partial 16S ribosomal RNA". It matches the Rfam family "Bacterial small subunit ribosomal RNA", at positions 28 to 507 of the family's 1533-position model. The record is from RNAcentral.